Molecule: transfer RNA, 461 nt
Filed under: uncultured Alphaproteobacteria bacterium
Lineage: Bacteria; Pseudomonadati; Pseudomonadota; Alphaproteobacteria
Description: partial 16S-23S ribosomal RNA intergenic spacer
Rfam family: tRNA (bases 182-256)
Source: RNAcentral
CCUCCUUUCAAGGAUGUGUUUUGAAAAUGUGCUUUGCAUAUUUAUGAAACAACUACCCUUAAUUCAGAAUACCAUAGCGCCAAGAUGGGCCGCCGCCUUCGUAUCCCUUUCAAGAGCCAGUCUGUUAGCCGGAUCAUGCUUUUUAUGUUUCGUGUUGGGGUAAAUCAGGUUUGGUCGAUCCGGGCCUGUAGCUCAGCUUGGUUAGAGCGCACGCCUGAUAAGCGUGAGGUCGGUAGUUCGAGUCUACCCAGGCCCACCAUCUAUAUGGGGGCGUAGCUCAGCUGGGAGAGCACCUGCUUUGCAAGCAGGAGGUCAUCGGUUCGAACCCGUUCGCCUCCACCAACAUGUUGAAUAGGCUUUAACAUUUUAAACUGGACUGAUAGGAAGUAGCUUCUCUUGUUGUUUUUUAUGAAGCAAAUCGGAAUUUUCUGCUCUUUUACAUUGUGAAUAGGUCUGAUGAU